This 253-nucleotide ribosomal RNA is filed under the name uncultured bacterium. Its description in RNAcentral is "partial 16S ribosomal RNA". It matches the Rfam family "Bacterial small subunit ribosomal RNA", at positions 524 to 776 of the family's 1533-position model. The record is from RNAcentral.
CACGUAGGGGACGAGCGUUGUCCGGAUUCAUUGGGCGUAAAGCGCGCGUAGGCGGCUCGGAAAGUCGGUCGUGAAAUGCCGGGGCUCAACCCCGGGACUGCGUCCGAUACUCCCGAGCUGGAGGCAGGUAGGGGAGAUCGGAAUUCCUGGUGUAGCGGUGAAAUGCGCAGAUAUCAGGAGGAACACCGGUGGCGAAGGCGGGUCUCUGGGCAGUAACUGACGCUGAGGAACGAAAGCGUGGGUAGCAAACAGG